NAUCAUGCUCAUCAUGCAUUCUUUACUUUUCUUGCAUUUACUCUAUGCAUUGUUAUUAACAUGCAUUUACUUUACAUCAUGCAUCAUUGUUAACUUGCAUCCUUUACUUAGCCUUUACUUUAUGCAUAUUUAUUAAUGCAUCAUUUAGUCUUGUCUACAUGCACAUGCAUCAACGUGAGAUUACAUUGCUAAGACAUAAUGAGCGACCUAGUCGCUUCGGUAAGCACAACCCACCUUGAUUCGCGUUCCGAUUGCUUGUCGACACUUACAAUCGGCCUCCCGCGGCACUCGGCAC
This 295-nucleotide long non-coding RNA is filed under the name Ananas comosus (pineapple). Its description in RNAcentral is "long non-coding RNA (ACOM_LNC017880)". The record is from RNAcentral. Lineage: Eukaryota; Viridiplantae; Streptophyta; Magnoliopsida; Poales; Bromeliaceae.